GGAGAGGUGUCCGAGUUGGUUGAAGGAGCUGGUCUCGAAAACCAGUGUGCGGGCAACCGUACCGUGGGUUCGAAUCCCACCCUCUCCGCCA
Molecule: transfer RNA, 91 nt
Filed under: Nitrospinota bacterium
Lineage: Bacteria; Pseudomonadati; Nitrospinota
Also listed under: 3 other names
Description: tRNA-Ser
Rfam family: tRNA
About the family: Transfer RNA (tRNA) molecules are approximately 80 nucleotides in length. Their secondary structure includes four short double-helical elements and three loops (D, anti-codon, and T loops).
Source: RNAcentral